RNAcentral lists this unclassified non-coding RNA (242 nucleotides) under Hevea brasiliensis (rubber tree). The record is from RNAcentral. Lineage: Eukaryota; Viridiplantae; Streptophyta; Magnoliopsida; Malpighiales; Euphorbiaceae.
UGAGAACAAGUUCCUCGAGACCUGACAGUGCGUUCCAGUGAGAUAGCGAUUCAACGGCAGCAUCAUUGAUGAGAUUCUGACGAAGAGAGAGCUUCUUCAGGUUCGAGAGCUCUCCAAUCCGAGGGUCCAAACUCGAAAGUCGAUUUGCAGUCAGGUCCAAUUCCGUUAAACUCGAAGGUAACUCGAUAGAGUCGAGGUCAUGGAGCUGAAAGCUGGUGAGAUCAAGAAUCGUAGAAUUGAGA